AGACCCGAAACCCGGUGAUCUAGCCAUGGGCAGGUUGAAGGUUGGGUAACACUAACUGGAGGACCGAACCGACUAAUGUUGAAAAAUUAGCGGAUGACCUGUGGCUGGGGGUGAAAGGCCAAUCAAACCGGGAGAUAGCUGGUUCUCCCCGAAAGCUAUUUAGGUAGCGCCUCGUGAAUUCAUCUCCGGGGGUAGAGCACUGUUUCGGCUAGGGGGCCAUCCCGGCUUACCAACCCGAUGCAAACUGCGAAUACCGGAGAAUGUUAUCACGGGAGACACACGGCGGGUGCUAACGUCCGUCGUGAAGAGGGAAACAACCCAGACCGCCAGCUAAGGUCCCAAAGUCAUGGUUAAGUGGGAAACGAUGUGGGAAGGCCCAGACAGCCAGGAUGUUGGCUUAGAAGCAGCCAUCAUUUAAAGAAAGCGUAAUAGCUCACUGGUCGAGUCGGCCUGCGCGGAAGAUGUAACGGGGCUAAACCAUGCACCGAAGCUGCGGCAGCGAACGUAUCACUUAAAGCGAUUCAGCGGGUUACGAUUGACGGAGCGAAGCGACGUCAAAGCGUAUACAAAGUCGAGUCGGUUUAAGGAUACGUUCGUUGGGUAGGGGAGCGUUCUGUAAGCCUGUGAAGGUGUGUCGUGAGGCAUGCUGGAG
Molecule: ribosomal RNA, 652 nt
Filed under: Salmonella enterica subsp. enterica serovar Infantis
Lineage: Bacteria; Pseudomonadati; Pseudomonadota; Gammaproteobacteria; Enterobacterales; Enterobacteriaceae
Description: partial 23S ribosomal RNA
Rfam family: Bacterial large subunit ribosomal RNA
Source: RNAcentral